Molecule: long non-coding RNA, 262 nt
Organism: Schistocerca cancellata (South American locust)
Lineage: Eukaryota; Metazoa; Arthropoda; Insecta; Orthoptera; Acrididae
Exons: 3
Source: RefSeq, a predicted model, not a curated record
UGCAAUGUGCCUUCCAACAUGCCUGCACGUCCAAAGGAACGUUGCAUCCCACUUAUUAACAACACAGGUACUGUACUUAACAGGUACUGUACUUAACAGGUACUGUACUUAACAGGUACUGUACUUAACAGGUACUGUACUUAACAGGUACUGUACUUAACAGGUACUGUACUUAACAGGUACUGUACUUAACAGGUACUGUACUUAACAGGUACUGUACUUAACCGGCUGUGCCAAGCAGGAACUUUCAGUUAAAAUGUCC